RNAcentral lists this ribosomal RNA (258 nucleotides) under uncultured bacterium. Its description in RNAcentral is "partial 16S ribosomal RNA". It matches the Rfam family "Bacterial small subunit ribosomal RNA", at positions 524 to 776 of the family's 1533-position model. The record is from RNAcentral.
UACGUAGGCAGCGAGCGUUGUUCGGAGUUACUGGGCGUAAAGGGUGUGUAGGCGGUUGUUUUAAGUUUGGUGUGAAAUCUCCCGGCUCAACUGGGAGGGUGCGCCGAAUACUGAAUGACUCGAGUGUGGGAGAGGUGAGUGGAAUUCCUGGUGUAGCGGUGAAAAUGCGUAGAUAUCAGGAGGAACACCGGUGGUGUAGACGGCUCACUGGACCAUAACUGACGCUGAGACACGAAAAGCGUGGGGUAGCAAAACAGG